RNAcentral lists this ribosomal RNA (168 nucleotides) under uncultured rumen bacterium. RNAcentral's name for it is "partial 16S ribosomal RNA". It matches the Rfam family "Bacterial small subunit ribosomal RNA", at positions 340 to 524 of the family's 1533-position model. The record is from RNAcentral.
UACGGGAGGCAGCAGUGGGGAAUAUUGCACAAUGGGGGAAACCCUGAUGCAGCGACGCCGCGUGAGUGAAGAAGUAUUUCGGUAUGUAAAGCUCUAUCAGCAGGGAAGAAAAAGGACGGUACCUGCACAAGAAGCCCCGGCUAACUACGUGCCAGCAGCCGCGGUAAU